Non-coding RNA from Boleophthalmus pectinirostris (great blue-spotted mudskipper), 390 nucleotides. The record is from the annotation of a RefSeq genome assembly. NCBI's taxonomy places the organism in Eukaryota, Metazoa, Chordata, Actinopteri, Gobiiformes, Gobiidae.
AUGGAGUGUAAAGGAGAAGACACAGUGACCCAGCCAACAGGAGACACCUCUGACACUCAGGGACACACAGCAACAAUACUCUGUACUUUUACCACCAGCGACUCAUACCCAACUCUGUUCUGGUACAAACAAGAAGGACGAGGAGCUCCCAGAUACAUGGUGAAGAAAAGUAGAUCAUCAUCAUCGUGGACUAAGACAAGUAAAUCUUCAGAGUUCAAUGAAAAGAGAUUUGAAGUUGAAGCUGAGGGAAACUCUUUCUCUCUGAAGAUCCAGGAUGUGGAUGUGACAGACUCUGCUGUGUACUACUGUGCUCUGAAGCCCACAGUGACAGGAAACACCAAAACUCUGAACAAAAACCUCUGGAGCAAAGACAACACAAUACUGCAGUAG